AACCACACUAUCAAUGAAUGGAUUCACCCGUGAUAUGACGUGGCUGUUCCACUUAGGACAAGGACGUGGCACCCUAUUACAAGCCAUCGCACGAAAUUAAUAGGAUGCCACGUCCUCAUCGUAGGUGAAACAACCACGUCAUCUCACAAGUGAAUCCAUUCAUUGAUAGUGUGGUU
Non-coding RNA from Oryza glumipatula, 176 nucleotides. The record is from Rfam. NCBI's taxonomy places the organism in Eukaryota, Viridiplantae, Streptophyta, Magnoliopsida, Poales, Poaceae.